This 301-nucleotide ribosomal RNA is filed under the name uncultured bacterium. RNAcentral describes it as "partial 16S ribosomal RNA". It matches the Rfam family "Bacterial small subunit ribosomal RNA", at positions 509 to 807 of the family's 1533-position model. The record is from RNAcentral.
CAGUAGCCUCGGGAAAACGAACCGUGCGAACGUUAUUCGGAAUCAUUGGGCUUAAAGCGCGUGUAGGCGGAUGGGAACGUCGGUCGCUGAGAUACCCCGGCUCAACCGGGGAACUGGCAUCGAAACGACCCGUCUCGAGGGGCAUAGGGGGAGCUGGAACUUCCGGUGGAGCAGUGAAAUGCAUUGAGAUCGGAAGGAACGCCCGUGGCGAAAGCGAGCUCCUGGAUGUCUUCUGACGCUGAGACGCGAAAGCUAGGGUAGCAAACAGGAUUAGAUACCCGCGUAGUCCCUGUCUCUAUAC